RNAcentral lists this ribosomal RNA (501 nucleotides) under uncultured bacterium. RNAcentral's name for it is "partial 16S ribosomal RNA". It matches the Rfam family "Bacterial small subunit ribosomal RNA", at positions 30 to 523 of the family's 1533-position model. The record is from RNAcentral.
AUUGAACGCUGGCGGCAGGCUUAACACAUGCAAGUCGAGCGGAGAUGAGGUGCUUGCACCUUAUCUUAGCGGCGGACGGGUGAGUAAUGCUUAGGAAUCUGCCAUUUAGUGGGGGACAACAUUCCGAAAGGAAUGCUAAUACCGCAUACGUCCUACGGGAGGAAGCAGGGGAUCUUCGGACCUUGCGCUAAAUGAUGAGCCUAAGUCGGAUUAGCUAGUUGGUGGGGUAAAGGCCUACCAAGGCGACGAUCUGUAGCGGGUCUGAGAGGAUGAUCCGCCACACUGGGACUGAGACACGGCCCAGACUCCUACGGGAGGCAGCAGUGGGGAAUAUUGGACAAUGGGCGGAAGCCUGAUCUAGCCAUGCCGCGUGUGUGAAGAAGGCCUUUUGGUUGUAAAGCACUUUAAGCGAGGAGGAGGCUACUAGUACUAAUACUACUGGAUAGUGGACGUUACUCGCAGAAUAAGCACCGGCUAACUCUGUGCCAGCAGCCGCCGUAA